This 650-nucleotide ribosomal RNA is filed under the name uncultured marine bacterium. RNAcentral's name for it is "bacterial SSU rRNA". It matches the Rfam family "Bacterial small subunit ribosomal RNA", at positions 8 to 637 of the family's 1533-position model. The record is from RNAcentral.
AGAGUUUGAUCCUGGCUCAGGAUGAACGCUGGCGGCGUGCCUAAUACAUGCAAGUCGAGCGAACUGAUUAGAAGCUUGCUUCUAUGACGUUAGCGGCGGACGGGUGAGUAACACGUGGGCAACCUGCCUGUAAGACUGGGAUAACUUCGGGAAACCGAAGCUAAUACCGGAUAGGAUCUUCUCCUUCAUGGGAGAUGAUUGAAAGAUGGUUUCGGCUAUCACAUACAGAUGGGCCCGCGGUGCAUUAGCUAGUUGGUGAGGUAACGGCUCACCAAGGCAACGAUGCAUAGCCGACCUGAGAGGGUGAUCGGCCACACUGGGACUGAGACACGGCCCUGAUUCCUACGGGAGGCAGCAGUAGGGAAUCUUCCGCAAUGGACGAAAGUCUGACGGAGCAACGCCGCGUGAGUGAUGAAGGCUUUCGGGUCGUAAAACUCUGUUGUUAGGGAAGAACAAGUACGAGAGUAACUGCUCGUACCUUGACGGUACCUAACCAGAAAGCCACGGCUAACUACGUGCCAGCAGCCGCGGUAAUACGUAGGUGGCAAGCGUUAUCCGGAAUUAUUGGGCGUAAAGCGCGCGCAGGCGGUUUCUUAAGUCUGAUGUGAAAGCCCACGGCUCAACCCGUGGAGGGUCCAUUGGAAACUGGG